GACACGGUCCAGACUCCUACGGGAGGCAGCAGUGGGGAAUUUUGCGCAAUGGGCGAAAGCCUGACGCAGCAACGCCGCGUGGAGGAUGAAGGCCUUCGGGUCGUAAACUCCUGUCAGUAGGGACGAAUGCUUCGAAAGAAGUUUGACUGUACCUGCUGAGGAAGCCACGGCUAACUCCGUGCCAGCAGCCGCGGUAAUACGGAGGUGGCAAGCGUUGUUCGGAAUUAUUGGGCGUAAAGGGCGCGUAGGCGGCUUUGCAAGUCAGAUGUGAAAGCCCCGGGCUUAACUCGGGAAUUGCAUCUGAAACUGCUUAGCUUGAGUCCUGGAGGGGGUAGUGGAAUUCCCAGUGUAGCGGUGAAAUGCGUAGAUAUUGGGAGGAACACCGGCGGCGAAGGCGGCUACCUGGACAGUGACUGACGCUGAGGCGCGAAAGCUAGGGGAGCGAACGGGAUUAGAUACCCCGGUAGUCCUAGCCGUAAACGAUGGGCACUUGGUGUUGGGGGUAUUGAGUCCCCCGGUGCCGGAGUUAACACGUUAAGUGCCCCGCCUGGGGAGUACGGUCGCAAGACUGGAACUCAAAGGAAUUGACGGGGGCCCGCACAAGCGGUGGAGCAUGUGGUUCAAUUCGACGCAACGCGAAGAACCUUACCGAGGCUCGAACGGUAACUGCAAUUCUUGGAAACAGGAAGUUCUCUUCGGAGACGGUUAUCGAGGUGCUGCAUGGCUGUCGUCAGCUCGUGUCGUGAGAUGUUGGGUUAAGUCCCGCAACGAGCGCAACCCUUGCCCUUAGUCGCCAUCAGGUUAUGCUGGGCACCCUAAGGGAACUGUCGGCGAAAAGCCGGAGGAAGGUGGGGAUGACGUCAAGUCCUCAUGGCCCUUACGUCUCGGGCUACACACGUGCUACAAUGGUCGGUACAAAGGGUUGCCAACCCGCGAGGGGGAGCUAAUCCCAAAAAGCCGAUCUCAGUUCGGAUUGCAGUCUGCAACUCGACUGCAUGAAGGCGGAAUCGCUAGUAAUCGCAGAUCAGAACGCUGCGGUGAAUACGUUCCCGGGCCUUGUACACACCGCCCGUCACAUCACGAAAGUGGGUUGUACUAGAAAUCGCUGAGCUAACUCGCAAGAGGGGCAGGCGCUUAAGGUAUGAUCCAUGAUUGGGGUGAAGUCGAAACAAGGUAGCUGUAGGAACCUGUGGCUG
This 1196-nucleotide ribosomal RNA is filed under the name metagenome. Its description in RNAcentral is "bacterial SSU rRNA". It matches the Rfam family "Bacterial small subunit ribosomal RNA", at positions 323 to 1520 of the family's 1533-position model. The record is from RNAcentral.